Long non-coding RNA from Saccostrea echinata, 493 nucleotides. RefSeq lists it as uncharacterized. The transcript is spliced from 2 exons. The record is from RefSeq and is a predicted model, not a curated record. NCBI's taxonomy places the organism in Eukaryota, Metazoa, Mollusca, Bivalvia, Ostreida, Ostreidae.
ACCUUGUCGGAUAUGUUGCCUGGCUUCAACUUCAAAGAAAUGGGCAUAUAUACUGUGUGAUUUAUUGAAUACCCAUAUGGCUAACAAUUUAGAGGUUGGAAUUAUAUUCCACAAUUGACUGAUAAGAAGUGAAGUUGUGGUAUAGUGUUUGUUGGCCAUCAAUCAUUCUAAUGCUGACCUUCAUGUGGAAAAAGAUGCUGCGUCUCCAUAUUUAGAAGAAGAUUAAGGACAUUUCAAGCAUGAAAUCUUAACCUUGAAAUGACACUGCUUCCUGGGACAAUUCUCAAGUUGGAACAAGGGAAGAAGUUGUCACGAAGAAUGUCCCCACAGAGAUGAGAGAAUAGCUCCUAAUCCCUUGGGUGCAGGACCAUUUAGUUUUCACUAUAGGGAGAAUUCAGAUAAACUUUAAAAAAACUCAUUAAUUGGAUUUCAUGCUUGUUUCAUACUGUGUAUAAUAAUCUGGUGGCUGAAGAUAAAUUAUAUAGCAAAGAUA